Molecule: ribosomal RNA, 459 nt
Filed under: uncultured bacterium
Lineage: Bacteria
Description: partial 16S ribosomal RNA
Rfam family: Bacterial small subunit ribosomal RNA
Source: RNAcentral
CCUACGGGAGGCAGCAGUGAGGAAUAUUGGUCAAUGGGCGGGAGUCUGAACCAGCCAAGUCGCGUGAGGGACGACGGUCCUAUGGAUUGUAAACCUCUUUUGUCGGGGAACAAAGGCGCCCACGGGUGGGCGCAUGAGUGUACCCGAAGAAAAAGCAUCGGCUAACUCCGUGCCAGCAGCCGCGGUAAUACGGAGGAUGCGAGCGUUAUCCGGAUUUAUUGGGUUUAAAGGGUGCGUAGGCGGACCGUCAAGUCAGCGGUAAAAAUGCGGUGCUCAACGCCGUACAGCCGUUGAAACUGGCAGUCUUGAGUGGGCGAGAAGUAUGCGGAAUGCGUGGUGUAGCGGUGAAAUGCAUAGAUAUCACGCAGAACUCCGAUUGCGAAGGCAGCAUACCGGCGCCCUACUGACGCUGAGGCACGAAAGCGUGGGUAUCGAACAGGAUUAGAUACCCGAGUAGUC